UAUACCCAACGCAAUCUGUCGCACGCGUUUCCCGUCUGCCACUCGUUGAGCGCGAAAAUAUUUUAUUUCGUUUAUUAGUAAAUGCGUGUUCGUGUAUUGGUCACUAUUAUAACACCGUGACCGACUUAACACAUCUUAUCCGCAUGAAGAAAUGUUUUCGCGAACAUUUUAUCAGUGCUUAUACAAUAUUGUAUUGUGUUAACGCGAGGAAAAAGAAACGACCCGAUAAUGAGUGAUUAUUAUCAGUGACGAUCAGUGACAACGGGGAAAUCGAUGGUGGCCUCGACCAACCUGCAGGGGCAGGUUUUAUCAAUAACCAAGGAAGGGACUAAUGGAGGUUUAAGAAUUUAGCGUUAAUUCUAUAAAGAAGUUUUCAUAUGGUUAGUAUAGCCAAACUUCAGCUCAAUAUGAAAUGAACAUUGAAAAUUUGAAAAUCGAUAUAUUCAAAAGAUGUUUGGCCCUGAUCUGACCUCAAUACAAGGUCGAACACCUCAUCGCCGGUCUGAUGUCAUUAUGUUCCGCGAAGGGUUCCGAUUUACAAAUCCUAUACCGUACAGGCCUGAAAUAUAUUAUAUGUGGUACAUGUA
This is a long non-coding RNA of Sipha flava (yellow sugarcane aphid), 587 nucleotides long. RefSeq lists it as uncharacterized. The transcript is spliced from 4 exons. The record is from RefSeq and is a predicted model, not a curated record. Lineage: Eukaryota; Metazoa; Arthropoda; Insecta; Hemiptera; Aphididae.